GUCUAUGCCAUACUACCCUGAACACAUGUGAUCUCAUCUGAUCUCAGAAGCUAACCAGGGUUAGGCCUCGUUAAUAUGCAGGUGGGAUUAAAGACC
Molecule: ribosomal RNA, 96 nt
Filed under: Mustela putorius furo (domestic ferret)
Lineage: Eukaryota; Metazoa; Chordata; Mammalia; Carnivora; Mustelidae
Source: RNAcentral